Molecule: long non-coding RNA, 436 nt
Organism: Oreochromis aureus
Lineage: Eukaryota; Metazoa; Chordata; Actinopteri; Cichliformes; Cichlidae
Exons: 2
Source: RefSeq, a predicted model, not a curated record
UCCUCAUAUCACCUGAGCUGGCUGUGGAGUACAACAUGCUUGGCCGACAUGGGAAAAAAAAGUUCAGAGAUUUACGUCUUUUUAAUGUUGUGUAUGAGGCACUGAAGAAGAAUUAUUUAACAUCAAAAGUCAACUUGCAAGAAGCAGAGAAGGCUCUCUCCAAGUGGUUCACUGGAGCUAAAGACAGAGGAGGACUGAGGGCUGCAAGGGUACAAAAUAGACUUACGGCUCUGUAAAAAAACAAAAAAAGAAACCCAGCUGAUUCAAGAUAAGCUUUUGAGUUUUCCAUCUGACUUUUUCUCACUGUUGCAACAGUUCCGAAUAUAUAAGGAAUUUUGAUGUAGUUUGACAUUUCUAUUUUUUAAAAGUUUACGCACUUUGAAAUACAGUUACGUAAAAUCACAGUUGUUGGACAAAAUAAAUGUGAAAAAUGUUG